This 482-nucleotide ribosomal RNA is filed under the name uncultured bacterium. RNAcentral's name for it is "bacterial SSU rRNA". It matches the Rfam family "Bacterial small subunit ribosomal RNA", at positions 29 to 487 of the family's 1533-position model. The record is from RNAcentral.
AACUAACGCUGGCGGCGUGCCUAACACAUGCAAGUCGUACGAGAAAGUCGGCUUCGGCUGAUGAGUAAAGUGGCGCACGGGUGAGUAACGCGUGGAUAAUCUGCCCUUGAGUGUGGAAUAACGUACCGAAAGGUGCGCUAAUACCGCAUAAUGCCUGGCAACACAAGUUGUCCGGCCAAAGAAGGCCUCUGUUUACAAGCUUUUGCUCAAGGAUGAGUCCGCGUACCAUUAGCUAGUUGGUGGGGUAACGGCCUACCAAGGCUACGAUGGUUAGCUGGUCUGAGAGGAUGAUCAGCCACACUGGAACUGAGACACGGUCCAGACUCCUACGGGAGGCAGCAGUGAGGAAUAUUGCGCAAUGGGGCAACCCUGACGCAGCAACGCCGCGUGAGUGAGGAAGGUUUUCGGACUGUAAAGCUCUGUCGAGCGGGAAGAAAUGUACCAUGGCUAAUAUCCAUGAUAUUUGACGGUACCGCUAGAGG